AACUGUGUGAAUUAAUGUGAAUCGCAGACUGCUUUGAACAUCC
This 43-nucleotide ribosomal RNA is filed under the name Rauschoides alternata. Its description in RNAcentral is "partial 5.8S ribosomal RNA". The record is from RNAcentral. Lineage: Eukaryota; Metazoa; Platyhelminthes; Cestoda; Cyclophyllidea; Anoplocephalidae.